Thamnophis elegans (Western terrestrial garter snake) is the source of this 147-nucleotide small nucleolar RNA. RefSeq annotates it as small nucleolar RNA SNORD10. The transcript has a single exon. Lineage: Eukaryota; Metazoa; Chordata; Lepidosauria; Squamata; Natricidae. The record is from RefSeq and is a predicted model, not a curated record.
GUUCCAUGAUGAUUUCCCCAUGCGUGUCAUCUGACCCCCUCGUGGCCCCCCCCGAUUGUCCCCUCGGCCGGCGUUCUGCUGGGCCGGGGGGAGGAAUCCCUGGGGCCAGGGGGAAAGUGAUCAUACUUUGAUAACGUCCCUGAGAUC